UACGAAGGGGGCAAGCGUUGUUCGGAAUUACUGGGCGUAAAGGGCGCGUAGGCGGCUUAUCAAGUCAGGCGUGAAAUUCCCGGGCUCAACCUGGGGGCUGCGCUUGAUACUGAUGAGCUUGAAUGCGGGAGAGGAUAGUGGAAUUCCCAGUGUAGAGGUGAAAUUCGUAGAUAUUGGGAAGAACACCGGUGGCGAAGGCGGCUAUCUGGCCCGUAAUUGACGCUGAGGCGCUAAAGCGUGGGGAGCAAACAGG
RNAcentral lists this ribosomal RNA (253 nucleotides) under uncultured bacterium. Its description in RNAcentral is "partial 16S ribosomal RNA". It matches the Rfam family "Bacterial small subunit ribosomal RNA", at positions 524 to 776 of the family's 1533-position model. The record is from RNAcentral.